Styela clava is the source of this 229-nucleotide long non-coding RNA. RefSeq lists it as uncharacterized. The record is from RefSeq and is a predicted model, not a curated record. NCBI's taxonomy places the organism in Eukaryota, Metazoa, Chordata, Ascidiacea, Stolidobranchia, Styelidae.
GUUUAAAUCAGUCAGUUUAAAUCUGACUGUGAAAUAGGAAAAACAGUUUCGGUGAACUUAUUGCCACCAACUAACAAAUGUCAGCCGGGCCAUCAAAAAUCCAGAGAACAGAAACAUAUUCAAGCCUUAUAAGUCUAAAGAUGGUGAUUAUACAAUCACAAAAAGAGCUGUGGUGAAGUUCAAACAAAGUGUACCCUUGCUAAGAAUUCUUGGUUGGGAAAGUUGAAUU